Aricia agestis (brown argus) is the source of this 111-nucleotide long non-coding RNA. RefSeq lists it as uncharacterized. NCBI's taxonomy places the organism in Eukaryota, Metazoa, Arthropoda, Insecta, Lepidoptera, Lycaenidae. The record is from RefSeq and is a predicted model, not a curated record. The transcript is spliced from 3 exons.
UUUGAGAAUUUACGAAUUUAUAAAUCUCGUUACACGCGCCUACGAAAUUAGUCCCGUUAUCGGACGUGAUGCGUCGGGUCUUGCCUCGACGCGCCACGAACCGAUUUAAGG